This is a non-coding RNA of Potamilus streckersoni, 68 nucleotides long. Lineage: Eukaryota; Metazoa; Mollusca; Bivalvia; Unionida; Unionidae. The record is from the annotation of a GenBank genome assembly.
GGUGGCCCAGUGGUUAGAGCGUCCGCUUCGAAUGCGGAAGAUCGCGGGUUCAAGUCAUACCAAAGACU